CUGCAUUCCCUCCCCCUCUUGGGUACCAGGCGGCGCUCCCGGGCGCUGGCGGCGGAAGAGAUGGAGCAGCGUCACGAGCGCCCGGCCCCUUAAAACGCUGCUGGCUGGAGCCGCCUCCCUCCCUGCAGCCCGCGGCGGGGAUGGAGUGAAGGGAGACCCGGCGACCUGCCCGCUGGGAUCAGCGAUGGAGUUAAAGCAAUCUUUGUCCACCCACUUGGAAGCCGAGAAGCCUCUGAGGCGCUAUGGAGCAGUGGAAGAGACGGCGUGGAAAGCGGAGGGACUGGGGAGAAGUCAGCUGGACAUCAUCUCCAUGGCAGAGACAACCAUGAUGCCGGAGGAGAUUGAGUUGGAGAUGGCGAAGAUCCAGCGUCUCCGGGAAGUCUUGGUCCGGCGGGAGUCGGAGCUCAGGUUCAUGAUGGACGACAUCCAGCUCUGCAAGGACAUCAUGGACUUGAAGCAGGAGCUGCAGAACUUGGUCGCCAUCCCAGAAAAAGAGAAAACCAAGAUGCAGAAGCAGAGAGAGGAUGAGCUCAUCCAGAAGAUUCACAAACUGGUGCAGAAGAGGGACUUCCUGGUGGACGACGCCGAGGUUGAGAGGUUAAGAGAGCAAGAAGAAGACAAGGAAAUGGCCGAUUUCCUGAGAAUCAAGUUAAAAUCUCUAGACAAAGUAACCAAAUCUUCAGCCAUCACAAAAUACUGAGUACCAAGGCCCUGUGGCUAGACUUGGGAUAUACAAUGGUGAAGAAAACUGACUAGGAAAAGGGCAGAAGCUCUGGAUGAAAGCUGAGACCUGCAAGCUGAUUUGCGGUACCACCUGAUAACCAACUCCGCCCCGCUCACUGUACCCUGCCUUCCCCUGACGUCACCAAGGGCUCCGUAAACAUACACUGACUGAGCCAGCUCCUGCAUGUGCCAGCAGGUAUCCAGCCAUUUCUUCACUCUCGGGCACUGAGACUGCUGCUAACUUUCUGGUAUCACAAACAACGUCACGACACGCAUCCUGGGGAGAUAAAGCUUCAUCCGAUUUCCUGAUUUUCCCCCUAAGAGAAACUCCUAGAAGUAAAGUGUUGGGUUGUUCAUAUGAUAGCAUUUUCAAAAUAUUUCUAAAUCACAAAGAAAUCCAGAUGUCUGUCACAGGUGCGCAGCAGCUUUGGGGCUGACCCCAAGUAUCUCAUAGAGAUACGUGGCUCCCUCCUCCUCUGCCUCAGAUACGCUCCUGCUUAAGGGCAGGCUUGGCCUGCAUGCCACUUUCUGCCAUUCUGACCAGUCAGAGCCACCAUGGUGGCCGCAGGGUCACCGUGUCCUCCUUUACUGCAAACCACCAAACACGAACCAGACUGUGGGAGUGUCCUGGGGCUGCCACUACAGAUCACCUCACACCACAACUGCAUCUGCGCGUGCGGCAGGAGGGGAGAAGUCUGAAGCCAAGGGUGCAGUGGUCAGCCGCCGCCCCUGACACCAGCGUGCCCCGUGAGCACUGCUUCCCAUCCAGCUCCUUGCUCAUGUGCCUGGGAAGGCAGCGAAUGCUGGCCCCACCCAUGUGGUGGACCUGAAUGGAGUUCCUGACUCCUGGCCCAGUCCUGCCUGUUGUGGUUGUGGCCAUCUGGGGAGUGUACCAGCAGAUGGAAGGAUGGAAGAGCUGCCACUCUGCCUUUCAAAUAAAUAAAUCAAUCUUAAAAAAAAAAAAAAAAAAAAAAAAAAGGAAGUCUGCAGUCAAGGCGCUGCAAGGCCAGAGUGGUCAGGAAGAACCCUGCUGCCUCUCCAGCUCCUGUCACCCCUGGCAGUCCUCUGUCUUCCCAGUCUCUAACUCCAUCUUCACACAUCCCUCCCCCCCGGGCACAUGUUCCUGCGCCUCCCCUCAUCUUACAAGAGCCCACCCUAAUCCCGCACAAUUUAAUGUCUUUUUUUUUUUUUUGAAGAACAAAUAACAUUUACUAUUCACAGACAAUAUGAGUGUGAUGAAGAAAAUCCAAAAUAAUCUGCAGAUAAAAAUUAUAAUUUUGAAUUGAAUUUAAUAAGUUUACUGUUAACAAGGUCAACAUAAAAUCAGUAAUACCCCCUAUACUGCACUGUCAGUUAAAUGGAAAACUGAAUUUAAAAAGAGACAUUUGCAUUUCAUUUUAAAAAAUGAAAAAUACUAAAAGAUAAAUGCAGCUUAAAACAAAUAUUACAGUACGGAAAUUCGGGAAGAGAUGAAUAGCAGUGGGAGUGGUAAAUACUAGAAAAAUUAUGAGUAUAUUGUUUUUAUAAAAGAAUAUUUGAAAUAAUAGAUGAACAAGUUAGAAUUUGAGUGAAAUUGCUAUGCAAAAGUAUUAAUGUUAAUUCAAGGAGAAGUGUGAAAAGUUAAGGAUACCUAUUAUUAUCCUGAGGGCAACUAUUAAAAAUAGCCAAUAAAAGAGACAAAGAAGGCCAGCUAAGCCACCGCUUGUGGCACAGGCAUCCCACAUGGGCACCAGUUCAGGCCCGGGCUGCACCUCCUCCCAUCCGGCUCUCUGCCUAUGGCCUGGGAAAGCAGCGGAAGACGACUCAAGUGCGUGGGUCCCCACACCCCCAUGAGAGACCCAGAAGAAGCUCCCGGCCCCUGGCUCUUGGUUCUUGGCUCCUGGCUCCAGAUCGGCCCAGCUCCAGCCCCCUCGGCCACCUGGGGAGUGAACCAGUGAAGGAAAGACCUUCCUGCCUGUCUCUGUCUCUGUCUGUCUGUCUCUCGGUGAGUCUGCCUCCCAAAUAAAUCAGUAAAAUGAUUUAAUCUUAAUCCUACCUUAACUGCUUCUGCUAAGAGCCUAUUUUCAGGGAAUUUGGAGGAGGGCAGGGACACUGUUACCUCACUGCAGACCCUUCCCAGUGUCGCCCAGCCACUCUCUCGUCCCCGUAGAAAACACGGUUGACCUCAGACCAGUUAUACAGCACUCACUCCCUGAUCCAACAAGCCAAAGGAUAAAAAUCCUGCCCCUAGGGCUUCUGCCAAGCCCUAAGUAGACCUACCUAAUGUGCCUGCUACUCCCAUUGACUUCGUAGAAAACAAAGGCUUUUUUUUUUUUUGACAGGCAGAGUGGACAGUGAGAGAAAGAGAGAGAGAGAAAGGUCUUCCUUUUCCAUUGGUUCACCCUCCAAUGGCCGCCACGGCUGGCGCGCUGCGGCCAGCGCAUCGCGCUGAUCCGAAGCCAGGAGCCAGGUGCUUCUCCUGGUCUCCCAUGGGGUGCAGGGCCCAAGGACUUGGGCCAUCCUCCACUGCACUCCCUGGCCAUAGCAGAGAGCUGGCCUGGAAGAGGGGCAACCGGGACAGAAUCCAGCACCCCGACUGGUACUAGAACCUGGUGUGCCGGCGCCACAAGGCGGAGGAUUAGCCUAGUGAGCCACAGCACUGGCCAAGACAGGCUUUUUACUGGAGAAGAGAAGCAAGCAGUAACUGAAGAUGCUCCCGGAUCACCAGGGCUGCCUGCCACACUGGGAAACCUUGCAGACUGCGGGGUCCUCCUCACCCAGACUCGCUCUUUCUGGAAGCCACGGGAAAGGAUGACAACAGACAGCACACUGAUCACUGUGCACUGAACAGCGCACUCACAUCAGCCUGACAAGGCAGAGGCUCCUGUAAACCCCACCUGGCACGGCCAGAGUCCCAUGUGUUGGUGGCUCCUCUCCCCCGCAGCCUCCAAAAUCUUUCUCUUCAGUUCAGCAUGUAAGCACCUCCCCACCUGCAAAACCCAGCAAAGACAGAACCCCGUGCAGUUCCGCCAUCCCUCUUAGCUGGUAGCCACCGCCUUUCUCUGCGUCUUCCGAGCCUUUCCUCUUUAGACUUGGCCCAAAUCUUAUUUUAUUUUUUUUAAUUUUUGCCAGGCAGAGUGGACAGUGCGAGAGAGAGACAGAGAGAAAGGUUUUCCUUUGCCGUUGGUUCACCCUCCAAUGGCCGCUGUGUCCAGCGCACUGCACUGAUCCGAAGGCAGGAGCCAGGUGCUUCUCCUGAUCUCCCAUGGGGUGCAGGGCCCAAGUAUUUGGGCCAUCCUCCACUGCACUCCCGGACCACAGCAGAGAGCUGGCCUGGAAGAGGGGCAACCGGGACAGAAUCCGGUGCCCCGACCGGGACUAGAACCUGGUGUGCCGGCGCUGCAAGGUGGAGGAUUAGCCUAGUGAGCCGCAGCGCCGGCCUCAAGUCUAUUUUAAUCUGGUCUCUGUCACUCUCAUGACUCCUCUCACCAGGAGUGCAUCCCUCUGCUUACAUCUGGGGGAUGCACAUCCGCCCUCGCACUCUGCAGCCCUGACAGGGACUCAGGCCUCAUUUAACAGCCAAGACGCUGCGCUCUGGGUGUGCAUCCUACAGCCCAGCAGCCCCUGCCCAGUCUCCUUUUACCCUUCCUCCUCCUGACAGCCUGGCCCUUGGCACUCUGUUCUCUUCUCUCUACUGAUCUCAUCCGCUCUGUGCACAUCUUGGAGGACCAUCAAUACUGACCGGUCCCCACGUUCUCUCAUAGGCUGACCUCUCUCCUAAGCUCAGAUUCCGUUUCCUGAGGAGGGAGUCCUUUAGAUCUACAGAAGGCACAUUAAACUUAACAGUCCUAAGCCAGGGACUUAGGGCAGGGUAUUGCCAGAGGGCCAAAUUCCACCUGCCAUCUGCUUUUGCAAAUCAAGUUUUAUUGGACUACAGCCCCACUCAUUCACAUACUGCCCAUGGCUGAUUCUUUUAUUUAAUUACUUAUUUAUGUGAGAGCCAGGCAGAGGCAAGGGACAGUGCCUCCUCUCAUCUGCAUGUAGAGCUUUAGGCUGAGAGCCAUGCCCUCACAUGGUUUAAAAGCCCCUCUGAUCUGGCUCCUCCGAUGCCCUGCGCCCCUCUUGCCCCCUCUCCUGGGACCUCUGAAGUCUCCUCUGGGCUCGCUGGUUCUGCUCAUCGUGCUCUCUGCUGGGCUUGGUGUGUGUGACUCCCCCUGCCAAGAACACCUCGCUUUCCUGCCAGACUUUGUUCCCUGCUCUCCCAGUCUCUCCUUGCGCUGCUGUGACGCCUAAGGGAAACCAAGCAUGGCUGCUUCUCAGGUUACAGCUCUACUGCCCCCUCCGCCCCCCAACCCACCCAUCUUCAGAGUCCAGCCUUGGGUCCUGGCCUGCUUUCCAAAGCCCCAUGCGGCCCAGCCCCUGUGGCGCUUCCCGCGUUGCACCUGUACUCACACCAACACUUAGAACAGAAGGCAAACUCGAGUCGGAGCAGUCUGGGAGGAAGGCCAGCGAGGCAGUGUCGUCGCGCCAAGGAGGGUGUGUCGCACGGCAUCCAGCUUUGCCCGGAGACCAUGUGACCUUAAGGACUUUAUGAGUGGUGCCCAAGGACUCUGCAGUGGGAUAUGGUUGGUGCCGAUGGAUCGAGCAAAGAACUGGCACCGACACUGGAUGCAUCGGAAGGGGCAGUGCUCCCCAUGGCUCCCCUGUGAGAGGAGAUGUGAGUAGCUCCAAGUCACACAGCAGGCAGGCCUGGAGCCAGGCCCAGGGAACAGAGGCCUUGCGCUGUCUGCGGAACUGGGCUUCGACUUCACAGGUGUGACUGCAGCCCCAUCAGUACCCUUAUUCCCUGUUGAGCAUGAAGGACUGGAGGUGACUUGUGGCCGCAGCAGUAGCAGAGCCUCUUUUAAAAGCUCCGAGUUCCGGGGUGGCCCUGAGCACAGGGCUGCACUGCAGCGUGCGUGAGGGCACCAGCCAGGGCUCAGAGGCCUGCCACCUGUGGUGCAGUGCCUGGGUGUCGGGCCCAGGCAGAGCACCCAGGCAAGCUGGCGUGAGAACAAACGUCACGUUUCUACCCUUGAACGUGCUUGUUCAUUCUAGUUAACGCCACACGUGGCAGCGAUAAGGGAACAUGGAGAUUGCAGCCCUUGUGCAGCCUUCAUUCCGGGGAGAGUCAGAGACCUUCACCUGCCUCCCCACGGCCACGGCCACGGCCUCCCUCUCCCCUGCCAUGCUGACAGGGCACACAGGCCCCCGUUCUCCACUCACCACAGAAACCAAGCUGCACAAGGCCCCGGGUUGUGACAUCACCUUCCAGAAGGCCCAGGGAGCUGGGAGCCACACACAGACGGAGGCUUCCCCCAGCUCUGCUGCCCGCCAUCCCAGCACUCACCUACCUUAUGCCUCCAUCAUGAACUAACUUCCUGCUUCAUUACAACAAGGCAGCUCUCUGUGUGAACCCCAACCCACCCCUCUGCAUGCUGCCCAUCAGCUCCAUGGCUCCGUCUCCACUGCGGCCGCAGCCCUGCAGGGUAGGAGGGAAGAUUUCUCUCCCUCCUGAUAGAACGUGGCUGGUGGCCCUUCCUCCCACAGGCACAGCUGCUGCAUCAGGUUUGGGCGUCAUGAACAAUUGUUUUCCUCCGUCCUGCAGAGAGGGCGUGGGCCCAGAGCCGGGGGAGUGGGGAGGGGACAUCUCUUGGGAGUCUGCGCUGGCAGCGGCAGGUGCUGGGGGAGAUGUGGCUGGGGUAGCGCGGUGGGGCUCGCCCUGCUGCAGGCUCUGUGACCUGCCCGCCUCAGCCUGGGGCAUGGUAGCUCUCGGCACUGGGUGCCUCAGUCACCAAAACACAAGCCAAGCAAGCAGGGAAUGAAGAGGGGGCAUUUCUCACUCCUGGGCUGGGGUGUCUUGAAAUCGGGUGACACCGGAAGUCCAAACAAUGCCCUCUGGACUCAGUGCCUCUCCAUGCUGCCACCUCUGGCUCUGUUCCCUGGCAAAAUCUUGUAUGGCCACGGCAACAGCACCUGGCUUACUUCCUCCCAGGGGCACAAUCCAGCAAAUCCAGCAAACAUCCUGGCUUGCAGCACGUGCCCAGCCCAGGGCCGUGCUGGGCCAGAGGGGUGCAGUUCUCUGCCCUGGCCCCACUGGGGUCCUCAGGCUGACCCUGGUUCUUGUGCUGCAAGAGAAGAGAAUGGAUCUAAGUAGCUAAAACCACAGUCUACUGCCUUUUAGAGAAUAAAAAGUAGGAUUUCAGAGACAGGAACUUGCUUAGGGCCACACAGCAGGUUUACCGAAGCCAGGGCAGAAUUCAGAACCCCAGCCUGGUUCAGUGCUCUGCACCCCCUUCUCUGAUACCCAGCCCAGCCCCAAAGGCAGCCCCCACUUGCCCUAGGAAGUUUCAUCAGCACACUCUGAUGAAACUGCCAGUCCAAGGGGGUCCCCUGCAUGCUCUGGACUGGGUCCAGCCAAGGGCCGUUUGUGCAGGUUCUGACAGCAACUGUUGACCUACGUGAACCCACUUGGGUCUGUGGCUUCAGGCUCCUGGGUGAUGCCUGUCAGCUAGCUCUGACCCCUCAAUGCCCCAGUGCUGGUCUCAAUCUCCAGGGAACACGUGGGAGCCUGCUCAACAAUUUUAACAUCCUUUUUAAAUGUUGAAAUAGGGAGCUGGUGCUGUGGCUUGGUAGGCCAAGCCUCCGCCUGCAGCACCGGCAUCCCAUAUGGGUGCUAGUUUGUGUCCUGGCUGUACCUCUUCAAUCCAGCUCUCUGCUAUGGCCUGGGAAAGCAGCAGCAGAUGGCCCAAGUUCUUGGGGCCCUGCACCCGCAAGGGAGACCCAAAGGAAGCUCUUGGCUCCUGGCUUCAGAUCAGCCCAGGGGAUGGAAGACCUUUCUGUCUCUCCCUCUUUCUAACUCUGCCUCUCAAAUAAAUAAAUAAAAUCAUUUAAACAAUGUUGAAACAGUUUUGGAACUUACAGAAGAGUAUUUCUAGAGUCCCGUGCUGCAUAAUGAAAUUUCGGUCAAUGACAAACCAUAUACACGUGGUCGUCCCUUCAUAUAGCGUCUAGUGACCCGGCAGCACCCCUGCAUGCGUCAGCACACUCUGAUGAAACUGCCCAGAGACCUCUCUCAGACUGUGUCCCUGUUAAGAGACACAUGAGCAUAUAAAACCCUGCAAAGAAUCCCCGUGUAUCCUUCCUUUCACCCAAAUUCAGUGACAGCCUUUCGCUACACUUACUUGAUCACUUUUUCCGUACGCAAGGAUACCUUGAAAUGUUUGUGGAGAAAUGGAAUUAAGAUAUGUUUAGAGGCAGGUGUCUGAUGUAUCGAUUAAGACGCCACUAGGGAUACCUGGAGCCCGUAUCAAAGUGCUAGGUGUGAGUCCUGCCUCUGUUGCUGCUCCAGCUUCCCGCCAAUGCGCACCCUGAGGUCGGAAUCUUUCCAUGUGAUGGCUGGAGUAACUGGGGGCCUGCCACACACCUGGAUGGAGUCCCAGCUCUCCGCUUCUUCCCGGCCCGGCCCAGCCCGGCUGUUGUGGGCAUAUGUGGAGUGACCCAGCAUAUGGCUUUUCAAAUAAAUAAAAACAUAAAUGAAUUGUGGUACCAAAGAAUUUUGAAAUCUACAAAUAGUUUUUGUAAUAUGUGAUUUCCAUGAACUUCUGAAGACCCCUAUUGCACAUGGAUUUCAAUUUUGUUUUCAGCAAAAUAAACAUAUUUUAAUUACACUUUUCCACAUUCUGAAGCCCCAUGAAGGUCCAGUUUUUUCUGGAAUGAUCUGACCCAGCUGUAGACCUCAUGUCCCUUCAGUGUGUAUGAAAGAGCCAGUGCAUUUUCUCUUAAUUAGGGAAGGACUGUCAAAUGCCACUGAUGGAAUUACUUAGCCCUGAGAUGGUGGGUGUCCGCUGUCCUGCUGGUGUCCGUCCGGGCAAUUCUGCCCUCCCCCAUCCAGGGGCUGGUUCACGCACAGGCUCUUUAGGUGCCCUCAAUCAGGACUGGCCCCUUGGCCUUCCUGUUUUGCAGGACACUGACAGUUCUGAGGAUGGCAGAGCCUGUUUCUUAAGUUCUGCUGCGGGAGGGUGUGAGUGGGCCCACAUCUUGCUCAUCCAGGUCCCCACACUUGGUUCUUGCCUAGCACCCAGGAGGGGCUCAAACCAAACCAAAACACUAGACUUAGCAGCUGUGUAGAUCAGGAUUUCCAGUGCCAGUCAGUCGCAAGGGCAAGGGCUGAACCCUCCAGCCUCACUUCCCCUUCUGCAACUCUUGGUGUGGGAGUGCAGGGCAGGUUAGACAAGGGGGUCCUCAAGGGUCCUUACAGCUUGGAAGCUCCAUUGCUGACUCUCCAAAGUUUGGCCUGGAACUCUUUUCUCCCCUUCUAGGAUCUGGUUUGACGUCUUUGGCUUCACAUGUCAGCCAUCCGUUCAUCGAUGCUUACCAAUCACCCGUGAGGCAGAACCUAUGAUUUGCUUCUGACACAUACAACAUGGCAGAGCACUGGCAAUCACUCUUUGAUUGGGUCACUUUAUGUAAGGCUCCUCUUGGAUUAGAGGUGAGAACCUAGCUUGGUGGACUCAAUGGUUCUUUGGUUUCUGUUUUAGUUUAAAAAAAAAAAAAAACUCAUUUGAAAGAUAGAGACACAUAGAGAUCUUUCAUCUUCUGGUUCACUCCCCAAAUGGCCACAAUGGCUGGAACUGGGCCAGGCUGAAGCCAGGAGCCUGGAAUGCCAUCCGGGUCUCCCACACGGGUAGUAAGGGCCCAAGCACUUGGCCCAUCUUCCACUGCUUUCCCAGGCACAUUAACAGGGAAUUGGAGUGGAAGUAGAGCAGCCAGGACUUGAACCAGUGCCAUAUGGGAUGUCAGCAUGGCAGGCUGUGGCUUAACCUGCUGUGCUACAAUGCUGGUCCUGCCAGUGUCAUUUUGGGGAAGUCCAUGUGGUAGGGGGACUCGGGCAACGUGUGCAGAGUGUACACAGCUUCUAGCCUCCAACCAGCAGAAAGCCGGGGCCCCCAGUCACACAUCCCCAGGGAAAUGAAUUCCGCCAGCACCCGAGUGAGUCUGGAAGUGGGUUCUGCCCAGUCGAGCCUCCAGAUGAGAAUGUAGCCCAACUGCCAUAUCCCGACUGACAGCCGAGCUUUGUGGCCUGCAGACCACUGAAACCACGGGAUAAUCAUGGCAUGUUCUUUGCGGUAAUUUGUCAUGCAGCAAACUAACAGAAGCUGCUACUACUUUAAGCCAGGCCCCAGAUCCUGGAGAUGUUCUAGUGAAUAAAAAGACCAUCCCUGUUCUCAUGAACCUGUUGCCUCACUGAGGGAAAUGACUGAACAAUCACGCACACACAUGUAUUCAACAGUAAACUGUAUUUAAAAAAAAAA
Molecule: non-coding RNA, 10055 nt
Organism: Oryctolagus cuniculus (rabbit)
Lineage: Eukaryota; Metazoa; Chordata; Mammalia; Lagomorpha; Leporidae
Source: RefSeq, a predicted model, not a curated record